GAUGAACGCUGGCGGCGUGCUUAACACAUGCAAGUCGAACGAUGAAGCCCAGCUUGCUGGGUGGAUUAGUGGCGAACGGGUGAGUAACACGUGAGUAACCUGCCCUUAACUCUGGGAUAAGCCUGGGAAACUGGGUCUAAUACCGGAUAGGAGCGUCCACCGCAUGGUGGGUGUUGGAAAGAUUUAUCGGUUUUGGAUGGACUCGCGGCCUAUCAGCUUGUUAGUGAGGUAAUGGCUCACCAAGGCGACGACGGGUAGCCGGCCUGAGAGGGUGACCGGCCACACUGGGACUGAGACACGGCCCAGACUCCUACGGGAGGCAGCAGUGGGGAAUAUUGCACAAUGGGCGCAAGCCUGAUGCAGCGACGUCGCGUGAGGGAUGACGGCCUUCGGGUUGUAAACCUCUUUCAGUAGGGAAGAAGCGAAAGUGACGGUACCUGCAGAAGAAGCACCGGCUAACUACGUG
This 466-nucleotide ribosomal RNA is filed under the name uncultured bacterium. RNAcentral describes it as "partial 16S ribosomal RNA". It matches the Rfam family "Bacterial small subunit ribosomal RNA", at positions 28 to 507 of the family's 1533-position model. The record is from RNAcentral.